CACCUGACAGGUGGGUGUCACUUCCCAAAAAGCAAAGAAAAAGUGGAAAAGAGUAAAAAAACCCCAUGGGGGAGCGCUGUGCUGGGGCUCCCCGAGGGCCGGGGACACUCGGGGCGCGCUCGCCCCGGGGCCAGCGGGACACGGGCGGCUCUUACCGUGCAGCAGCAGCAGCCCCUGGAGGGCACAGACGGCCAGGAGGGCUCUGGGCCGGGGCAGCAUCCCGGGGCCGGUCCUGGUGCGUGUCCCGAACCCUCUGGAGAAGUUUUCCUUCGCGGCGAGAAGUUUGGGAAAGCCGGCGCGGGGAGGGAGGGGAAGGACGAGGCGCGCAGUUCCCACUUGUUGAUUCCAGUUAAAUUGUUCUUUCCAUUCACCGCUUCAUCCUGGGGCUGCGGGUUGUGUUUGCUUUUCCUUCUUCCAGAGGUUCUUGGCUUUUUUUUUUCUUUUUUUUUUUUUUUUUCUUUCCUUCACCCCUUCUCCGCAAUCCCCUUAUUCCUUCUUUCCCCGCGUUUCUCCAGUCCCUGGGAUUGGGGGGAUUGGGAGUCUGGGGGGAGCCUGGCUGUGCCUCAGAAGCCUCCCCAGCCCUCCUGGCUGGCGCAGAGUCCCUCAAGGGAUGAAAAAGCAAAGCGAAAACACCAGAAAAAGUUUGGCACAAAGUUUCCUCCCCUCGGCGAGCUGCUGCUGGCAGCAGCGCGGAGUUUGGGACAAAGCGGCCGAGCCAGGGAUGGAUUUCUCCAGGGAGGAGCAGGUGCCGAAGGGGAUGGGCUGGAAAACCAAAUCCAGCAGGAUGGGGGGAGCUGCCCGAAGCCCACCUGGCUCUGCCCGGAGCCCACCUGGCUCUACCUGCCCGGGGGCACCUGGCCGGGGCGGGGCUGGGGCAUGGCCGGAGCCCCGGCUCUGCUCUCGGCUGUCCCCCUCCCCUCCUGCCCUGCCUCUCGCAGGGAACUUCGGUGCGAGCCCGAGAUUCUUUAUAGGGACAGGAAAAAAAAAAAAAAAGCAAAAGAAGGAGGAAGGAGAGACGUCACCAGCCGAGGCGAGGGGACUUCACUCUCUCUCUCUCUCUCCCUCUCCCUCCCUGUCAUUUCACUGAGCUCCUGGAUUUCCUCUCGCUGCUGCCUGCGAUGGGGCAGAGAAGGGAAUUCCAGCUGCUGGCCGGCAUCAGGUGGCAACACCUUCCUGCAGGGACCCCGGGGAGGGGACAGCAGCUGA
This 1206-nucleotide long non-coding RNA is filed under the name Parus major (Great Tit). RNAcentral describes it as "lncRNA (ENSPMJG00000012223.1)". The record is from RNAcentral. Lineage: Eukaryota; Metazoa; Chordata; Aves; Passeriformes; Paridae.